CACGUAGGGGGCGAGCGUUGUCCGGAAUCAUUGGGCGUAAAGAGCUCGUAGGCGGCUCGGUAAGUCGGUGGUGAAACCCCCAGGCUCAACCUGGGGACGCCACCCGAUACUGCUGUGGCUAGAGUCCAGUAGGGGAGUGUGGAAUUCCCGGUGUAGCGGUGAAAUGCGUAGAUAUCUGGAGGAACACCGGUGGCGAAGGCGGCAUCCUGGACCGGUAUUGACGCUGAGGCGCGAAAGCCAGGGGAGCAAACGGG
RNAcentral lists this ribosomal RNA (254 nucleotides) under uncultured bacterium. RNAcentral describes it as "partial 16S ribosomal RNA". It matches the Rfam family "Bacterial small subunit ribosomal RNA", at positions 524 to 776 of the family's 1533-position model. The record is from RNAcentral.